This 599-nucleotide ribosomal RNA is filed under the name Salmonella enterica subsp. enterica serovar Senftenberg. Its description in RNAcentral is "bacterial SSU rRNA". It matches the Rfam family "Bacterial small subunit ribosomal RNA", at positions 1 to 589 of the family's 1533-position model. The record is from RNAcentral. RNAcentral also lists the same sequence under 4 other names. Lineage: Bacteria; Pseudomonadati; Pseudomonadota; Gammaproteobacteria; Enterobacterales; Enterobacteriaceae.
AAAUUGAAGAGUUUGAUCAUGGCUCAGAUUGAACGCUGGCGGCAGGCCUAACACAUGCAAGUCGAACGGUAACAGGAAGCAGCUUGCUGCUUCGCUGACGAGUGGCGGACGGGUGAGUAAUGUCUGGGAAACUGCCUGAUGGAGGGGGAUAACUACUGGAAACGGUGGCUAAUACCGCAUAACGUCGCAAGACCAAAGAGGGGGACCUUCGGGCCUCUUGCCAUCAGAUGUGCCCAGAUGGGAUUAGCUUGUUGGUGAGGUAACGGCUCACCAAGGCGACGAUCCCUAGCUGGUCUGAGAGGAUGACCAGCCACACUGGAACUGAGACACGGUCCAGACUCCUACGGGAGGCAGCAGUGGGGAAUAUUGCACAAUGGGCGCAAGCCUGAUGCAGCCAUGCCGCGUGUAUGAAGAAGGCCUUCGGGUUGUAAAGUACUUUCAGCGGGGAGGAAGGUGUUGUGGUUAAUAACCGCAGCAAUUGACGUUACCCGCAGAAGAAGCACCGGCUAACUCCGUGCCAGCAGCCGCGGUAAUACGGAGGGUGCAAGCGUUAAUCGGAAUUACUGGGCGUAAAGCGCACGCAGGCGGUCUGUCAAGUC